Long non-coding RNA from Brassica oleracea var. oleracea, 237 nucleotides. RefSeq lists it as uncharacterized. The record is from RefSeq and is a predicted model, not a curated record. The transcript has 3 exons. Lineage: Eukaryota; Viridiplantae; Streptophyta; Magnoliopsida; Brassicales; Brassicaceae.
AGACGAUGGUAAUGGAGAGUCAAACGCAAACACUGGUGGCUUUGGUAUGAGGAGGUUCUAAGAUGUGUCUGAGGAAGAAGGAUGGAUCUAUGUUCCAUAUAAGGAGAUCCCGGAUAACUGGUCUGAGUCUGUUGAGAUUCAGUCAUUACGUCUCUGGAUCGCUCCUUUGUGUUUACUGGGGAGCAGAUUCAGAUCCUUGCAGUUGCUUGCUUAUCUGAGAGUAAAGGGGACGCCGAG